Molecule: ribosomal RNA, 491 nt
Filed under: uncultured bacterium
Lineage: Bacteria
Description: partial 16S ribosomal RNA
Rfam family: Bacterial small subunit ribosomal RNA
Source: RNAcentral
AGUGAACGCUGGCGGUAGGCCUAACACAUGCAAGUCGAACGGCAGCACAGUAAGAGCUUGCUCUUACGGGUGGCGAGUGGCGGACGGGUGAGGAAUACAUCGGAAUCUACUUUUUGUGGGGGGUUACCUAAGGAAACCUACGCCUAUACCCCAUACGAACUACGGGUGAAAACCAGGGGUCAUCCGACCCUGCGCGAUUUAAUUAGCCGAUGUCGGAUUAGCUAGUUGGCGGGGUAAAGGCCCACCAAGGCGACGAUCCGUAUUUGGUCCGAGAGGAUGAUCAGCCACACUGGAACUGAGACACGGUCCAGACUCCUAAGGGAGGCAGCAGUGGGGAAUAUUGGACAAAGGGCGCAAGCCUGAUCCAGCCAUACCGCGUGGGUGAAGAAGGCCUUCGGGUUGUAAAGCCCUUUUGUUGGGAAAGAAAAGCAGCAGGUUAAUACCCCGCUGCUCUGACGGUACCCAAAGAAUAAGCACCGGCUAACUUCGUG